Long non-coding RNA from Sphaeramia orbicularis (orbiculate cardinalfish), 1006 nucleotides. RefSeq lists it as uncharacterized. The record is from RefSeq and is a predicted model, not a curated record. NCBI's taxonomy places the organism in Eukaryota, Metazoa, Chordata, Actinopteri, Kurtiformes, Apogonidae. The transcript has 4 exons.
CAGCUCGUCGUGGAGCAGAUCCUUCAGUUCGCUCUUCUUCAGUUUGCGUUUGUCUCCUUCUCUUUCCGAGUAUUUCUGGAACACGGCGAUGAUGGUAGCCAUGGAAGUCUCCAGCAUCUGCCAGGCGUCACAAAGGCCCGUUUCAGAGGAAGCGUCUGGCCAUGCAUGUUAAUGAAGACGCUCUUUUCACUGCCCAACUUGGCCAGACGUGUGCCCUCCACAGCCCAAAGACAAGUCCCAAACACAACAUCUGCUCCGGCCAAAUAAGCACAAGUUCACCAGUCCGGACGCCAAGCUCAGGUGGUGACUCAGACGCCUGGCACACAAAAAAAAAAAAAAAAAAAAAAAACCUUUUACAGCUCAGCAAGAGGCGCUGACUGGUUGCCAUGGCGACGGCACAGCUCCGAGCAGCGCUGGCCGGCUCUGAGGACGCCUCGGCCGUUUGAGGACUCCGUCUCCUGGGAGAAAAAAUGCUGGAGGAGGAACAACAGAGGAGAGAGAAGGAAGAGCUGAUGAUGAAAGGCUGGAGUGUGGGUUUUUAGUGCAGCGGCAUCCCAUCCUGGACCCUGUGCAUUAUUUGUUUCCAUGGUGAUCCUAAACGUGGCGGCGUGCAGCAGCAGCAGCAGGCGGAGUGGCCAUCUCAUGUGGCAUCUUCCCCUCUUUAAUCCCCAUAAUCCUCUCCUGCCUCUACUCUCACACCCCCAAUCGGAUUAAAGGCUACUGGAUCAAAGCCCUCUACCCUCCAAAUACACACCCACACCAUCGCACACAUGAACACACACCUGGCCUACAUAUCUACUUCCUCCUCCAAGAACAAACUGGACUGACAAGAGGACAACAAUGAAACAGAUUCACAGGCUGAAAAAACAUGUUGUUAGCCUCACUGCAUAAUUGGCUAACUCAAAUACACACAUGGACAAAAGUUGAAUUCAGGUGUUUCUUUUCUAACAGGCAUGUGGAACACAAAAGAAUAAUGACAAAUAUAACUCUACAUUGUUUUAAACAU